Molecule: unclassified non-coding RNA, 258 nt
Filed under: fungal sp.
Lineage: Eukaryota; Fungi
Description: partial internal transcribed spacer region
Rfam family: Eukaryotic small subunit ribosomal RNA (bases 1-46)
Source: RNAcentral
AAGUCGUAACAAGGUAACCGUAGGUGAACCUGCGGUUGGAUCAUUACUGAAUCCCAACAAAAAGUGCGGAUCUCCUCACGGAGUGAAGCAUGAACACCGUGUGCACUUUACCUUUUGUCUUUUGCUGAUGUUCGGUGCACCCUGUGUGCAUACGGUCAGCAAAACAAUCUAUUAAACCCCUAUGUUUUCCUACUAGUCUUAUCUUGAUUUUUUAUCAAAUGAUAAAAACAACUUUUGACAACGGAUCUCUAGGCUCUC